CAAAAACAUCGCCUCCUGCAAAAAUCAACAUAUAGGAGGUCUUGCCUGCCCAGUGACUAAAAGUUAAACGGCCGCGGUAUUUUGACCGUGCAAAGGUAGCGCAAUCACUUGUCUUUUAAAUGAAGACCUGUAUGAAUGGCGGAACGAGGGCUUAACUGUCUCCCCCCUCUGGUCAAUGAAAUUGAUCUGCCCGUGCAGAAGCGGACAUAACUAUACAAGACGAGAAGACCCUUUGGAGCUUAAGAUAAAAGACCAACUAUGUCAAAAGUCCUAAAAAAGACUAAACCAAAUAGCACUGGUCCCAAUCUUCGGUUGGGGCGACCACGGGAGAAAACAAAGCUCCCACGCGGACUGGGGAGACCCCCCAAAACUAAGAGAGACAUCUCUAAUGCACAGAACAUCUGACCAAAAAGAUCCGGCUACUUGCCGACCAACGGACCAAGUUACCCUAGGGAUAACAGCGCAAUCCUCUUCCAGAGUCCAUAUCGACAAGAGGGUUUACGACCUCGAUGUUGGAUCAGGAUAUCCUAAUGGUGCAGCCGCUAUUAAGGGUUC
This 555-nucleotide ribosomal RNA is filed under the name Ancistrus bolivianus. RNAcentral describes it as "partial 16S ribosomal RNA". It matches the Rfam family "Bacterial large subunit ribosomal RNA", at positions 1808 to 2574 of the family's 2925-position model. The record is from RNAcentral. Lineage: Eukaryota; Metazoa; Chordata; Actinopteri; Siluriformes; Loricariidae.